GGGCCCGUGGUCUAGCGGUAUGACGUGUCGUUGACGUCGACAAGGUCCCCAGUUCGAAUCUGGGCGGGCCCA
RNAcentral lists this transfer RNA (72 nucleotides) under Candidatus Woesearchaeota archaeon. RNAcentral's name for it is "tRNA-Val". It matches the Rfam family "tRNA". Rfam says of the family: Transfer RNA (tRNA) molecules are approximately 80 nucleotides in length. Their secondary structure includes four short double-helical elements and three loops (D, anti-codon, and T loops). The record is from RNAcentral. Lineage: Archaea; Nanobdellati; Candidatus Woesearchaeota.